RNAcentral lists this ribosomal RNA (190 nucleotides) under Paecilomyces breviramosus. RNAcentral's name for it is "partial 28S rRNA D2 region". The record is from RNAcentral. Lineage: Eukaryota; Fungi; Ascomycota; Eurotiomycetes; Eurotiales; Thermoascaceae.
UGCGCCCGGUGAAUCAUCCAGCGUUCUCGCUGGUGCACUUUGCCGGGCACAGGCCAGCAUCAGUUUGGCGCGGGGGACAAAGGCUUCGGGAAUGUGGCUCCCCCGGGAGUGUUAUAGCCCGCUGCGUAAUACCCUGCGCCGGACUGAGGUACGCGCAUCGCAAGGAUGCUGGCGAUAAUGGUCAUCAGCG